Non-coding RNA from Acanthosepion pharaonis, 113 nucleotides. NCBI's taxonomy places the organism in Eukaryota, Metazoa, Mollusca, Cephalopoda, Sepiida, Sepiidae. The record is from the annotation of a GenBank genome assembly.
UUACGGCCAUGCCACCUUGAAACACUGGUUUUCGUCCGAUUACCGAAGUUAAGCAACGAUGAGCCAGGCCAGUAACAAGAUGAAUGACCUUUAGGAAAUCCCAGGUGCUGGAA